Molecule: ribosomal RNA, 380 nt
Filed under: uncultured Kastovskya sp.
Lineage: Bacteria; Bacillati; Cyanobacteriota; Cyanophyceae; Coleofasciculales; Coleofasciculaceae
Description: bacterial SSU rRNA
Rfam family: Bacterial small subunit ribosomal RNA
Source: RNAcentral
CGAAAGCCUGACGGAGCAAGACCGCGUGAGGGAGGAAGGCUCUUGGGUUGUAAACCUCUUUUCUCAGGGAAGAACAAAAUGACGGUACCUGAGGAAUCAGCCUCGGCUAACUCCGUGCCAGCAGCCGCGGUAAUACGGAGGAGGCAAGCGUUAUCCGGAAUUAUUGGGCGUAAAGCGUCCGCAGGUGGUACCUCAAGUCUGCUGUCAAAGACCGGGGCUUAACCCCAGAAAGGCAGUUGAAACUGAAGUGCUAGAGGGCAGUAGGGGUAGAGGGAAUUCCCGGUGUAGCGGUGAAAUGCGUAGAGAUCGGGAAGAACAUCGGUGGCGAAAGCGCUCUGCUGGACUGCAACUGACACUCAGGGACGAAAGCUAGGGGAGCG